This is a long non-coding RNA of Hypanus sabinus (Atlantic stingray), 3802 nucleotides long. RefSeq lists it as uncharacterized. The transcript has 6 exons. Lineage: Eukaryota; Metazoa; Chordata; Chondrichthyes; Myliobatiformes; Dasyatidae. The record is from RefSeq and is a predicted model, not a curated record.
CCUCAUCAGACACUCACUGUGACAAAGCUCUAGUUAGUUGCUGCUGCGUUUUCAAUUGGCAUUAUUAUCUGGUUCACUGGCAUACUAUUACAGUAUAGAAACACCUAUGAAACAAACUGAAGAUUAAAAGAUUAUACUGGAAGUUGCAAAUAACUUGAACAUUUGAUCGAUGGGCAACCAAGUGUUAUUGAAUUUCAUUCUGACAGAGUGAGCGAGUAACAUCAACUCAGAUCUAAGCCACAGAGGUCAAAGGAAAACAGCAAUGAUUCAUUUUGGAUUAUUUGUCCUCCACAGGAUGUGAUGUUGAAGUCCUCUGGGACAGAACACUAUAUGAAAUUCCUUGGAGUAUUCUCCCCAUAAAAGAGAGAAGUACAGACGGUGCAUCACAGAAUGUUAUAGUGGAAGCAGUCAACACAGCACAGAUAUGGUGAAAUAUUCUGUACUUCAGCUAAAAGCAGCUGAAGAGUCAUAGAAUGUAUAAACAAAUAUGUGGAGAAGCAAGGUGAGAACAUGAACAAGAUCGGAAAAUGAGUACGUAUUGAUGAGGUUAGAUGUAGAAAGAGGAGCAUGGGGAGCACUGAUAUCAGCACUGGUCUAUCUGGCUCGUCUGUCUUGUGUUGUAAAUAUUGAAUACUGUUUUGUAAUAAUGUAACUGAAUUUCCCCUUCCUUUGCCUUCAUUGCAAAAAUCAAUUUUCUGCCUCUCUCAGCAACUCACCUUGAGAUGUUGGUUCCUCAUACGUGACCCUGAUAGUAUAACCAGUACACUCACAUGCAGGAAUUAACACAGAUACCUGCUACCCACACAUGCAAUCCUCAGAAGAUGCUGCUAGAGAGGAACCCCAGCCAAUUUCCUCAUUCCCAACCAAUGGCUGCUGAGAAAAACUGCAGCACUACCACCAAUGUUGCUUGCAUGAAUAACAUUAGUUUAUUCAGGUCUUAACUUUAGCUGAGCUGUUGGACAAAGCCUCCCUAAAGUGAACCCAGAAGCAGCUUUGACACAGAUAAUAGGUUGCUCUUGUUAUUGUAAUUGAAAACAAUUACAGUGAAGCACCAAGUGUGGAGUCAAAUAACAUAAAUUGCUCUUUUGCAAUUAUAGCUAAGAACAAAUCAGCCGAAUGUCUAAAUAUAUGUGAUGGGAAGCUAGGUGAGUACUUGAGAGAGAAAGGUAAAUAGCUUAGAUGCAUGAAAAGGGCCACGUGUAGCACAAAUAGAAGCACACAUCUGUUGGUCUGUUUCUCUACUGUAAAUAUUUUGUACUGCUCUUUUUUUGAAGAAUGCAUCUCACAAUGCUCUGAACACAUCAUCAGUGAUGUAACCUGGAGUCAUUGGAUGUUUUGGGUCUUUCAACAUCACACACCCUCACCCAGGUGACCCAGCCAUGGUUGAUCAAGCCAUGACUUGUGUUCAGGUAGCAGGUGCUGCAGAUCCCCAUGGACUUGUUCUCUUUAUCCGGAGCCAUCUUGAGGCUUUCCCUGCUUCAGGGCUCCCUGCCUCCUUGUACCAGCAAUGCCCAAUGAGCCGAGAGCUCUGUGAAGAGACAGUCUAGCAAAGUUCUGGCAGCAGCUCCCCUCAACGGGCAGACACUUUGCCUUCCAUUCCUGCCUCCAACAGUUGGUAACCAGUUCCUCAUAUCUGGAAAGUUUUGAAUAACUUUCUUGUGCCAACACUGAAGGCAUCAGCCGUUUGCAUUUACAAAAAAUUAACUUGGUAUGUUGCUUCCCAAAGCCAUUCAUAAGACACUAUUUGACACCAAACUACAUGAGUGAUUAUCAAAUAUCACAACUGAUAAACAAAUACUUGGUUGAAAAGAAAUAGACUGUCAGAAAGGGGGAAAGAAAAGGAAGAGGUUGUGAGAUGUUACAGCUAAGUGAGUUAAUUCCAGAGUUUAGGACCAUGGCUCAGCUUAUGAUGUGGGAGAAAGUCAUUCAAAGUUGAUCAAGGGGAGAAACACCUAAUUGAGGUUUGUAAAGGUGGAGAUUACAUAGCCAGUGAUGAUCAGUCUAUGGAAGAUUCGAUAGGCAAAGGUAACAAAGGUGCGCUGCUUAACAAGAAGCCAGCGGAGACCACUCACAGGGAAGCUUAGUGAACAGGACGCAACAGAUUUGAAUUUACAUUCCACCAGCAGUAAAGGGGAUCGGAGCUUGAGGUUUUUGGAGUUAAUUAAUUUCCAUUAAACAGGUGAUCACUUGUUUCAACAUCUAGAUAUCUUGGUGCUUGCUGAAGGGGCUUAGUAAAACAGAGUUUUGCAGGCAGCAGUUGAAUAGAUUGCUUAGAGGUACUUCAAACUGUUCUUUUGACAACAAUAGCUGCAAGAUCUCUGAUUUCUAUACUGAGCUAUUUCUAUUCACAAUCUUAAAAUGAAAGAUUUGCCGGUUUCAUGGAUUUUGGUCUGAAUAACUGCAUAUAUGUUUCACUGUGUCUAACAUUUUAUUGAAUCAGGAAGCUGAUGAUACAAACACAUUAGGCCUCUCCUCAUUUUAAAACGAAUCUCCAGCUGCAGACAAGGGAUUCUCCCUUUCCAUGGAAAACUCUCUUGCCCUGGUACGUAUAUUGCACCUAACUGACAUGGCAAUAGAGGAAAUUUGUGGCAGAUAUGCUUAAAUGGGUGGAAUAGUUUGCAGAUGAUGAAUAAUUUGAGGCUUGAAAUGUAAAGCCAACAAAAUUCCUUCACAGGUAUUUUUCAUUCAGAAAGAUACAGAGAAUAAAGUCAAAUAAAGGAUGGUGGAGAGCUGGUUAAUUAAUAAAGAAAGGUACUAAUGAACAAAACUUAGAAAUAUCUGUAGCUUUGAACAGUAAAAGUUAGCAAGAGUAGAAGAAACUCACAAAUAAAAACUUAGGUACAAGAAAUUCCCCCAGGUUUACUGACCCUGAAUGCCAAUGAGCAUGUUGGUUUCAUUAAAGAUGGCAGCUCCUGUGUAUCUACUGUAGCUAUGGUCAUUUUUCUUCUCGCUCCAAUUCAAUAUCAUUCCAGUUCCCUUUUCAACAUUUUAAGAAUUCUGCAGCAAGGCUAAACCCUAAUGAAAGUUCUUUGAUCAGACUCUUGCUGACUCUUCCAGUAACUAAACCACAUUGAUAAAGCUCUUGUUUUGUACUCUUGAUUUUUCUGCAUUUUUCAAGCCACAAGUGUGAUUUAUGAUCAAUUAUCACAGAAUUUAACCUUACUGACACAGGACAAUAAACAGUAGUAAUCUCACACAUCUUUAAAAUAUAAAAACAAUGUAUAAAUAUUCAUUUUCUUAAAUGAUGAAACCAGCCAGAGAGACUCUAGCUUUUUAAGAUCUGCUUGUUUACAAAAUGGAUGCAUUUUUGCAAUGACAUGAACAGAGUUAUACCACACAGCAAAAUACAGGUAAGCAUAUAACAAAGAAAUCAGAGUAAACUGGGACGCCUUGCCAUUUUAAUGUGGCUUUACUUCAAUGUGAUUUUUAGCUAGGUGCUGAAUGGUUGACAGCCAUCAUUCUGACACUGCUUCUGGUCAUUAUCAUAGGGAGGAAGUAAAUUAUUUCUAGAAGAAAAAAGACUCGGAGAAUAAUCACCACUGACCAGUGUGUGCAAACCCAGUGUGUAGCAAUAGCUCAGAUGCAGACCACCCACCUGCUUUUGCCGUAGGAUUAUGUAGUCCAGAAGGCCAUUCUGUCUAUCAUACCUGGGCUGGCUCAUUGAUAUACUCCUGUACUUUCCACAUAUGCCUUCAAUUUUGUUUCCUUUUAUGUAUUCAUCCAAACACUUAAUUAACAUUCCAAAAAGAACUUGCUUUAACUAUCAUUAAUGUAUUAUUACAAUGUACUGCAAAAUAAAAUG